RNAcentral lists this ribosomal RNA (1068 nucleotides) under Bacillus velezensis. RNAcentral's name for it is "bacterial SSU rRNA". It matches the Rfam family "Bacterial small subunit ribosomal RNA", at positions 300 to 1366 of the family's 1533-position model. Lineage: Bacteria; Bacillati; Bacillota; Bacilli; Caryophanales; Bacillaceae. The record is from RNAcentral.
GUGAUCGCCACACUGGGACUGAGCCCCGGCCCAGACUCCUACGGAGGCAGCAGUAGGGAUCUUCCGCAAGGACGAAAGUCUGACGGAGCAACGCCGCGUGAGUGAUGAAGGUUUUCGGAUCGUAAAGCUCUGUUGUUAGGGAAGAACAAGUGCCGUUCAAAUAGGGCGGCACCUUGACGGUACCUAACCAGAAAGCCACGGCUAACUACGUGCCAGCAGCCGCGGUAAUACGUAGGUGGCAAGCGUUGUCCGGAAUUAUUGGGCGUAAAGGGCUCGCAGGCGGUUUCUUAAGUCUGAUGUGAAAGCCCCCGGCUCAACCGGGGAGGGUCAUUGGAAACUGGGGAACUUGAGUGCAGAAGAGGAGAGUGGAAUUCCACGUGUAGCGGUGAAAUGCGUAGAGAUGUGGAGGAACACCAGUGGCGAAGGCGACUCUCUGGUCUGUAACUGACGCUGAGGAGCGAAAGCGUGGGGAGCGAACAGGAUUAGAUACCCUGGUAGUCCACGCCGUAAACGAUGAGUGCUAAGUGUUAGGGGGUUUCCGCCCCUUAGUGCUGCAGCUAACGCAUUAAGCACUCCGCCUGGGGAGUACGGUCGCAAGACUGAAACUCAAAGGAAUUGACGGGGGCCCGCACAAGCGGUGGAGCAUGUGGUUUAAUUCGAAGCAACGCGAAGAACCUUACCAGGUCUUGACAUCCUCUGACAAUCCUAGAGAUAGGACGUCCCCUUCGGGGGCAGAGUGACAGGUGGUGCAUGGUUGUCGUCAGCUCGUGUCGUGAGAUGUUGGGUUAAGUCCCGCAACGAGCGCAACCCUUGAUCUUAGUUGCCAGCAUUCAGUUGGGCACUCUAAGGUGACUGCCGGUGACAAACCGGAGGAAGGUGGGGAUGACGUCAAAUCAUCAUGCCCCUUAUGACCUGGGCUACACACGUGCUACAAUGGACAGAACAAAGGGCAGCGAAACCGCGAGGUUAAGCCAAUCCCACAAAUCUGUUCUCAGUUCGGAUCGCAGUCUGCAACUCGACUGCGUGAAGCUGGAAUCGCUAGUAAUCGCGAUCAGCAUGCCGACCGAA